GGCUAACCUACCCUCAGGACAGGGACAAACCCGGGAAACUGGGGCUAAUACCCGAUAGGCGAGGGCGCCUGGAAUGGUUCUUCACCCAAAGGGCUUUGGAAGCAUGCUUUUCAAAGUCGCCUGGGGAUGGGGCCGCGUCCGAUCAGGUUGUUGGUGAGGUAACGGCUCACCAAGCCUAUAACCGGUACGGGCCGUGAGAGCGGUAGCCCGGAGAUGGGCACUGAGACAAGGGCCCAGGCCCUACGGGGCGCAGCAGUCGCGAAAACUCCGCAAUGCACGAAAGUGUGACGGGGCUACCCCGAGUGCCGUCCGCUGAGGAUGGCUUUUCCUCGGUGUAACUAGCCGGGGGAAUAAGGAGAGGGCAAGACUGGUGUCAGCCGCCGCGGUAAUACCAGCUCUCCGAGUGGUAGGGAUGAUUAUUGGGCUUAAAGCGUCCGUAGCCGGCUUAGCAAGUCUCCUGUUAAAUUCAGCGACCUAAUCGUUGAGCCGCGGGAGAUACUACUAAGCUAGGAGGCGGGAGAGGCCGACGGUACUUCCGGGGUAGGGGUGAAAUCCUAUAAUCCCGGGCGGACCACCAGUGGCGAAGGCUGUCGGCUAGAACGCGCUCGACGGUGAGGGACGAAAGCUGGGGGAGCGAACCGGAUUAGAUACCCGGGUAGUCCCAGCCGUAAACGAUGCGGGCUAGGUGUUGGGGUGGCUACGUGCCACUUCAGUGCCGCAGGGAAGCCAUUAAGCCCGCCGCCUGGGGAGUACGGCCGCAAGGCUGAAACUAA
RNAcentral lists this ribosomal RNA (773 nucleotides) under uncultured archaeon. RNAcentral describes it as "bacterial SSU rRNA". It matches the Rfam family "Archaeal small subunit ribosomal RNA", at positions 102 to 858 of the family's 1478-position model. The record is from RNAcentral.